GGAAGGAUCAUUACUGAGUCGUCGACACGAGUUGUUGCUGGUCCCCACAUGGGGGCAUGUGCACGCUCUGUUUACACAUCCACUCACACCUGUGCACCCUCUGUAGUUCUAUGGUCUGGGGGACCCUGUCUUCCUUCUGUGGUUCUGCAUCUUUACACACACACUGUAAUAAAGUCAUAUGGAAUGUACACCGCGUUUAACGCAAUACAAUACAACUUUCAGCAACGGAUCUCUUGGCUCUCGCAUCGAUGAAGAACGCAGC
RNAcentral lists this unclassified non-coding RNA (262 nucleotides) under uncultured fungus. Its description in RNAcentral is "sequence contains ITS1, 5.8S rRNA gene, ITS2 and 28S rRNA gene". The stretch from base 214 to 262 matches the Rfam family "5.8S ribosomal RNA", at positions 1 to 49 of the family's 154-position model. The record is from RNAcentral. Lineage: Eukaryota; Fungi.